This 489-nucleotide ribosomal RNA is filed under the name uncultured bacterium. RNAcentral describes it as "partial 16S ribosomal RNA". It matches the Rfam family "Bacterial small subunit ribosomal RNA", at positions 899 to 1397 of the family's 1533-position model. The record is from RNAcentral.
ACUCAAAUGAAUUGACGGGGACUCGCACAAGUGGUGGAUUAUGUGGCUCAAUUCGUCGGCAAACGAAGAACCUUACCAAGGUUAGAAAUCCAGCUGCACGCCCUCCGAAAGGAGGGAAGCCUUCGAGGGUGCUGGACAGGUGAUGCAUGGUCGUCGUCAGUUCGUGGUUUGAACUGUUCCCUUCAGUGGGGUAACGAACGCAACCCCCGUUGCCUGUUGCCUAUAUGGUCAGGCGAGACUGCUCCCUCACGGGAGAGGAAGGUGGGGAUGACGCCAGAUCAGCAUGUCCCUCUGAUACCUUGGGCCGCACACAUAAUACAAUGGUAGGUCACAACGGGAUGCAAUACCGCAAGGUGGAGCCAAUCCUUCAAAACCUACCUCAGUACGGAUUGAGGUCUGCAACCGACCUCAUGAAGCUGGAAUCACUAGUAAUCCUGGGUCAGCUAAACCAGGGUGAAUACGUUCUCGAGUCUUGUACACACCGCCCGU